UUGGGGUCAUUAUCCUGCAUGAGCAGGUGGAGGAACAGGUGCAGACAGAAAUAUAAAUAAAACAAGCGUUGGCUGCCACAGAAGUUAUAAUCCAGUUAUUGAUCGUCCUUCCUCGUUUCCCCGUUGCAGAGCAGAUGAAACAUCAGAUCAGUGCUAAAUCCAAAUCUUUACACAAUUGAGCUGAGCCUCGGGACUUCAUGUGAAAAUCAAAUGCCGUUUCCUGCACUUCCAAAGGUCUUCAUCAGGAGCUGCUGAUGUGUUCAAGGCUCUUCUAAAGCUCCCCCUGCCACCCUGCAUGCUGUGCAGGCACUCCGCAGCUGAGCGUGAAACUGUGGGACUGUCUGUCAGAUGCAGUCGGAGGACUACCUGUGAAACAUCCUCAAAAGAACCACGUCCUACACGGAAUCAACCCAGCGAUCGUAUGUGCGGCUACAUACAGUCAAAGCCUCGCCUUGUAGGAGAGUGACAUCAAUACAGUCAAGUCCGCUGAAGAUCACUGGUGGUGGAGGAGUCUUUUGUUCUCUACAUGAGGCCGAAGGAAUGGCGAUCCUUUAUGAUAAAGGCAUUCACAUCAAUAUGAGCACCCAGGGGAAUGGCGUGCAUCACAGAGUCACCAUGGAGGACCUCUGCAGGCAGGUGUUCUUAUCACAUUAACAUUUUGCUGUGAUGGCAUGGCUACAUCUGCACUUACUCCUUA
Pleuronectes platessa (European plaice) is the source of this 697-nucleotide long non-coding RNA. RefSeq lists it as uncharacterized. The record is from RefSeq and is a predicted model, not a curated record. NCBI's taxonomy places the organism in Eukaryota, Metazoa, Chordata, Actinopteri, Pleuronectiformes, Pleuronectidae. The transcript is spliced from 5 exons.